ACACGCACCCACGCACACAUGGCCGAGUCAGCACGCGCGUCCUUGUCAUCACGCUUCUAUCCCGAAGUCACGAUAAACCACAUCCUGUUUUUCUAACGGCGACGCAGCAACAACAGCGACGUGACGGACGAUGCUCGGUCGCGCGAUAUUCGCGAUCGACGGGAGCUCGCGAGCUUUCGUGGGGCGCACGCAUCCAGGAAUAUACGCACUUGCGUAAAAUUGUCCGACGACGAUUGGUCGAGGGAAGGAAACUCAAAUGAUUGCGAAGGAUAAGAGCUUGAAAAAUAGUCUCGUCUCACUAAUGAUGGGGACGAAUAUAAUCAAAGAAGAAAGAAGGUCGUUAGAUAUGCAAUCAGAAUAAAUCACAAGAAACAUCUUUGUUCGGAUGGUGCUGUCGAAACACAUCCGUACUCAAUCUGACUGAUCGCUCUAAACACUACUCGGAGGAUAUAUUCGUCACGAUUAUUACCUUGUGGAGAUGAAGACACGAAAGAGGAUACGGCCCUUUCCCUUCUUCGGAGCGUUGUCA
This is a long non-coding RNA of Odontomachus brunneus, 529 nucleotides long. RefSeq lists it as uncharacterized. Lineage: Eukaryota; Metazoa; Arthropoda; Insecta; Hymenoptera; Formicidae. The transcript is spliced from 3 exons. The record is from RefSeq and is a predicted model, not a curated record.